AUGAUAAAGAAGAAAAGUUCAUGGACCAAAAGUCGAUACAGAGAAGAAAAGGAAAAGAAAAGAAAAAAGGAAGAAAGAGAAAGAGGAGAGGAGCGUCCGGCAUGUCAGGGAAGAAGAGGAAGAGUGUCACGCUGCCAUCCGUGGCUGGCCGAGCGUGGUAGCGACGAUUAGAGGUGCAGCGGAGGCCAGUGAGUGCAGCGGCGGCAGCGGCGCCAGGCAGCAGAAGAACGCGAAAGAAGACGGCGGUUGUCGACGCCAUUCCAAGCGUUUCCGACGGCCAUCGACGGCGAGUUUGGUCUCUUUUUGACCGGUGAGUUGAGAGCUUCCAUUUGGGAGUUGCGGCGUCGGCUUUGGUGGCCGAAGGAAGGAGUUUCGGCAAAGUGAAGGCAGCUGAAUUUUUAGGCUUUUCCAGCGAGUUCCGGCGAGGGAUAGAUGAUCGGAGGGCAUUUCCAAACUCUACUCAGCUCAAGCUUUCCAAUGGCACCGGUUUUGCGAUGAUCGGACUCCGUUUGGAAAUCGAGGUCCGAGAUCGUUCGUAAAUCUCUCCGGAUGAUCGGGGAUCAGAUUGGAAGAUCAGAAGUUGGGAUCAUCAUCAGCGCGUUAUCUCGAGUCCGUAGGCAUGUUCGGAUCACCGAUCGGACUCUGGUGGCUGGAGGCGAGUCGACCGAGUGAUCAAGCGUCUCGGUGAUUGAUAGUCUUCCCACAGUUCUUAUCUAGCAGCCCGACUCCUUCGUCAUUGGGUUGAUGUAAUUGAUUUUAGUAUGUUUGACUUGUAAAAUUUUAGAUUUUCUGCAGUAAAAAUUUUAGAGUUUUUAGUUUGUAAUUUUAUAUAAAUUCAAGUCUCGCUUAAUUAUGCUGACAGACAGAAUUUAAUUUAUAGUACCGGUUGAUUUAAGAUUAAUUGAGAAAAAAGUGCUUUGGAUUGA
Molecule: long non-coding RNA, 926 nt
Organism: Ricinus communis (castor bean)
Lineage: Eukaryota; Viridiplantae; Streptophyta; Magnoliopsida; Malpighiales; Euphorbiaceae
Exons: 2
Source: RefSeq, a predicted model, not a curated record